RNAcentral lists this ribosomal RNA (500 nucleotides) under uncultured bacterium. Its description in RNAcentral is "partial 16S ribosomal RNA". It matches the Rfam family "Bacterial small subunit ribosomal RNA", at positions 30 to 523 of the family's 1533-position model. The record is from RNAcentral.
AUUGAACGCUGGCGGAAUGCUUUACACAUGCAAGUCGAACGGCAGCACGGACUUCGGUCUGGUGGCGAGUGGCGAACGGGUGAGUAAUGUAUCGGAACGUGCCCAGUCGUGGGGGAUAACGUAGUGAAAAUUACGCUAAUACCGCAUACGAUCUAUGGAUGAAAGCGGGGGAUCGCAAGACCUCGCGCGAUUGGAGCGGCCGAUAUCAGAUUAGGUAGUUGGUGGGGUAAAGGCCCACCAAGCCAACGAUCUGUGGCUGGUCUGAGAGGACGACCAGCCACACUGGAACUGAGACACGGUCCAGACUCCUACGGGAGGCAGCAGUGGGGAAUUUUGGACAAUGGGCGAAAGCCUGAUCCAGCCAUUCCGCGUGCAGGAUGAAAGCCCUCGGGUUGUAAACUGCUUUUGUACAGAACGAAAAGGUUUCUACUAAUACUAGGAGCUCAUGACGGUACUGUAAGAAUAAGCACCGGCUAACUACGUGCCAGCCGCCGCGGUAA